RNAcentral lists this ribosomal RNA (397 nucleotides) under uncultured bacterium. RNAcentral describes it as "bacterial SSU rRNA". It matches the Rfam family "Bacterial small subunit ribosomal RNA", at positions 521 to 916 of the family's 1533-position model. The record is from RNAcentral.
UAAUACGGAGGGGGCAAGCGUUACUCGGAAUUAUUGGGCGUAAAGGGCGCGUAGGCGGUCUCGUGCGUCGAGGGUGAAAUCCCCGGGCUUAACCCGGGAACUGCCUUCGAUACGGCGAGACUUGAGUCCGGGAGAGGGGAGCAGAAUUCCCAGUGUAGCGGUGAAAUGCGUAGAUAUUGGGAGGAAUACCAGUGGCGAAGGCGGCUCCCUGGACCGGUACUGACGCUGAGGCGCGAAAGCGUGGGUAGCAAACAGGAUUAGAUACCCUGGUAGUCCACGCCGUAAACGAUGGGUGCUUGGUGUCGGGGGUAUCGACCCCUCCGGUGCCGAAGCUAACGCAUUAAGCACCCCGCCUGGGGAGUACGGUCGCAAGGCUGAAACUCAAAUGAAUUGACGG